RNAcentral lists this ribosomal RNA (422 nucleotides) under uncultured bacterium. Its description in RNAcentral is "partial 16S ribosomal RNA". It matches the Rfam family "Bacterial small subunit ribosomal RNA", at positions 359 to 773 of the family's 1533-position model. The record is from RNAcentral.
GAAUAUUGGACAAUGGGGGCAACCCUGAUCCAGCCAUGCCGCGUGUGUGAAGAAGGCCUUUUGGUUGUAAAGCACUUUAAGCAGUGAAGAAGACGCCAUGGUUAAUACCCAUGGACGCUGACAUUAUCUGCAGAAUAAUCACCGGCUAACCAAGGUCCAGCAGCCGCCGUAAUACAGAGGGUGCAAGCGUUAAUCGGCAUUACUGUGCGUAAAGCGAGCGUAGGUGGCGUGAUAAGUCAGAUGUGAAAUCCCCGGGCUUAACCUGGGAACUGCAUCUGAUACUGUUAGGCUAGAAUAGGUGAGAGGAAGGUAGAAUUCCAGGUGUAGCGGUGAAAUGCGUAGAGAUCUGGAGGAAUACCGAUGGCGAAGGCAGCCUUCUGGCAUCAUAUUGACACUGAGGUUCGAAAGCGUGGGUAGCAAAC